This 709-nucleotide ribosomal RNA is filed under the name uncultured bacterium. RNAcentral's name for it is "bacterial SSU rRNA". It matches the Rfam family "Bacterial small subunit ribosomal RNA", at positions 59 to 769 of the family's 1533-position model. The record is from RNAcentral.
CAGUCGACGGUGAAGAGGAGCUUGCUCCUUGGAUCAGUGGCGAACGGGUGAGUAACACGUGAGCAAUCUGCCCUUGACUCUGGGAUAACUGCGGGAAACUGUAGCUAAUACCGGAUACGACCUUGGAAGGCAUCUUCUGGGGUGGAAAGAAUUUUGGUCAAGGAUGAGCUCGCGGCCUAUCAGCUAGUUGGUGAGGUAAUGGCUCACCAAGGCGACGACGGGUAGCCGGCCUGAGAGGGUGACCGGCCACACUGGGGCUGAGACACGGCCCAGACUCCUACGGGAGGCAGCAGUGGGGAAUAUUGCACAAUGGGCGAAAGCCUGAUGCAGCAACGCCGCGUGAGGGACGAAGGCCUUCGGGUUGUAAACCUCUUUUAGUAGGGAAGAAGCGACUGGGUUUUCCUGGAAGUGACGGUACCUGCAGAAAAAGCACCGGCUAACUACGUGCCAGCAGCCGCGGUAAUACGUAGGGUGCAAGCGUUGUCCGGAAUUAUUGGGCGUAAAGAGCUCGUAGGCGGUUUGUCGCGUCUGCUGUGAAAACCCGAGGCUCAACCUCGGGCCUGCAGUGGGUACGGGCAGACUAGAGUGCGGUAGGGGAGAUUGGAAUUCCUGGUGUAGCGGUGGAAUGCGCAGAUAUCAGGAGGAACACCAAUGGCGAAGGCAGAUCUCUGGGCCGUAACUGACGCUGAGGAGCGAAAGCAUGGGGAGC